RNAcentral lists this ribosomal RNA (480 nucleotides) under uncultured Megasphaera sp. RNAcentral's name for it is "bacterial SSU rRNA". It matches the Rfam family "Bacterial small subunit ribosomal RNA", at positions 76 to 525 of the family's 1533-position model. The record is from RNAcentral. Lineage: Bacteria; Bacillati; Bacillota; Negativicutes; Veillonellales; Veillonellaceae.
AAGCUUGCUUCCUAUGAAAUCGAGUGGCAAACGGGUGAGUAACGCGUAACAACCCUGCCCUUCGGAUGGGGAUACAGCCGGAAACGGCUGCUAAUACCGAAUACGAUCUUUUCGUCGCAUGACGGAAAAGAAGAAAAGGAAUGGCCUCUAUACAAAGCUAUCGCCGAAGGAGGGGUUUUGCGUCUGAUUAGCUGGUUGGAGGGGUAACGGCCCAACAAGGCGAUGAUCAGUAGCCGGUCUGAGAGGAUGAACGGCCACAUUGGGACUGAGACACGGCCCAGACUCCUACGGGAGGCAGCAGUGGGGAAUCUUCCGCAAUGGACGAAAGUCUGACGGAGCAACGCCGCGUGAGUGAAGAAGGUCUUCGGAUUGUAAAGCUCUGUUAUACGGGACGAAAAAGACGGAUGCCAACAGUAUCCGUCCGUGACGGUACCGUAAGAGAAAGCCACGGCUAACUACGUGCCAGCAGCCGCGGUAAAU